Molecule: microRNA precursor, 110 nt
Filed under: Ursus americanus (American black bear)
Lineage: Eukaryota; Metazoa; Chordata; Mammalia; Carnivora; Ursidae
Also listed under: 2 other names
Description: mir-448 microRNA precursor family
Rfam family: mir-448 microRNA precursor family
Source: Rfam by way of RNAcentral
GCAGGGAGGUUGAACAUCCUGCAUAGUGCUGCCAGGAAAUCCCUAUUUUAUAGUAAGGGGGCUGGCUGGUUGCAUAUGUAGGAUGUCCCAUCUCCCCGCCCACCUCAUCG